AGCCAUGCCGCGUGUAUGAAGAAGGCCUUCGGGUUGUAAAGUACUUUCAGCAGUGAGGAAGGCGGAGUCGUUAAUAGCGGCCUCGUUUGACGUUAGCUGCAGAAGAAGCACCGGCUAACUCCGUGCCAGCAGCCGCGGUAAUACGGAGGGUGCGAGCGUUAAUCGGAAUUACUGGGCGUAAAGCGCAUGCAGGUGGUUUGUUUAAGUCAGAUGUGAAAGCCCGGGGCUCAACCUCGGAAUUGCAUUUUGAAACUGGCAGACUAGAGUACUGUAGAGGGGGUAGAAUUUCAGGUGUAGCGGUGAAAUGCGUAGAGAUCUGAAGGAAUACCGGUGGCGAAGGCGGCCCCCUGGACAGAUACUGACACUCAGAUGCGAAAGCGUGGGGAGCAAACAGGAUUAGAUACCCUGGUAG
This 412-nucleotide ribosomal RNA is filed under the name uncultured bacterium. Its description in RNAcentral is "bacterial SSU rRNA". It matches the Rfam family "Bacterial small subunit ribosomal RNA", at positions 390 to 793 of the family's 1533-position model. The record is from RNAcentral.